RNAcentral lists this ribosomal RNA (253 nucleotides) under uncultured bacterium. RNAcentral's name for it is "partial 16S ribosomal RNA". It matches the Rfam family "Bacterial small subunit ribosomal RNA", at positions 524 to 776 of the family's 1533-position model. The record is from RNAcentral.
UACGUAGGGUGCGAGCGUUAAUCGGAAUUACUGGGCGUAAAGUGUGCGCAGGCGGCCGCGCAAGUCGAGUGUGAAAGCCCCGGGCUUAACUUGGGAAUUGCGCUCGAAACUACGUGGCUGGAGUGUGGCAGAGGAAGGUGGAAUUCCAGGUGUAGCGGUGAAAUGCGUAGAGAUCUGGAGGAACACCGGUGGCGAAGGCGGGUCUCUGGGCAUUUCCUGACGCUGAGGCGCGAAAGCGUGGGGAGCAAACGGG